This 1002-nucleotide ribosomal RNA is filed under the name uncultured bacterium. Its description in RNAcentral is "bacterial SSU rRNA". It matches the Rfam family "Bacterial small subunit ribosomal RNA", at positions 356 to 1376 of the family's 1533-position model. The record is from RNAcentral.
GGGGAAUAUUGGGCAAUGGGGGAAACCCUGACCCAGCAACGCCGCGUGAAGGAAGAAGGCCUUCGGGUUGUAAACUUCUUUUACCAGGGACGAAGGACGUGACGGUACCUGGAGAAAAAGCAACGGCUAACUACGUGCCAGCAGCCGCGGUAAUACGUAGGUUGCAAGCGUUGUCCGGAUUUACUGGGUGUAAAGGGCGUGUAGGCGGAGAUGCAAGUUGGGAGUGAAAUCCAUGGGCUCAACCCAUGAACUGCUCUCAAAACUGUAUCCCUUGAGUAUCGGAGAGGCAAGCGGAAUUCCUAGUGUAGCGGUGAAAUGCGUAGAUAUUAGGAGGAACACCAGUGGCGAAGGCGGCUUGCUGGACGACAACUGACGCUGAGGCGCGAAAGCGUGGGGAGCAAACAGGAUUAGAUACCCUGGUAGUCCACGCCGUAAACGAUGAGUGCUAGGUGUCGGGGAGGAAUCCUCGGUGCCGCAGCUAACGCAAUAAGCACUCCACCUGGGGAGUACGACCGCAAGGUUGAAACUCAAAGGAAUUGACGGGGGCCCGCACAAGCGGUGGAGCAUGUGGUUUAAUUCGAAGCAACGCGAAGAACCUUACCAAGGCUUGACAUCCCGAUGACCGCUCUAGAGAUAGAGCUUCUCUUCGGAGCAUCGGUGACAGGUGGUGCAUGGUUGUCGUCAGCUCGUGUCGUGAGAUGUUGGGUUAAGUCCCGCAACGAGCGCAACCCUUAUCCUUAGUAGCCAUCAUUGAGUUGGGCACUCUAGGGAGACUGCCGUGGAUAACACGGAGGAAGGUGGGGAUGACGUCAAAUCAUCAUGCCCCUUAUGUCUUGGGCUACACACGUGCUACAAUGGCUGGUAACAGAGUGAAGCGAGACGGCGACGUUAAGCAAAUCACAAAAACCCAGUCCCAGUUCGGAUUGUAGUCUGCAACUCGACUACAUGAAGCUGGAAUCGCUAGUAAUCGCGAAUCAGAAUGUCGCGGUGAAUACGUUCCCG